This is a long non-coding RNA of Photinus pyralis (common eastern firefly), 2430 nucleotides long. RefSeq lists it as uncharacterized. The record is from RefSeq and is a predicted model, not a curated record. Lineage: Eukaryota; Metazoa; Arthropoda; Insecta; Coleoptera; Lampyridae. The transcript is spliced from 2 exons.
UAUCUUAGAUAUUUUUAAUUAAAGUUUAUUUAAAAAUAUCUAAGAUAUUGUAAAUUACCGCCAUCUAGCAGCAACGUUUACGAAAUAGUUAUAAAAUAAGUUUGACAACCUCGCAAAUUUCUUGUAUUGGGUACGUCGAUCAGCUGAUGUGUGUUAUUGUUUGUUUUGGUGGAAAUUGUGCCAAUUCUGUUAUUUUUAUUAUUGGUUUAUAGAAACUUAUGACUUUUUGUGCGUGUUAUUUUUGCUUGAGUGUUGUACUCAGUAUUUCUCAUUUUCUGUACAUUUUUACAAGAUCCCGUUAACGGUGCAAGAACGUUUUAGUGUCAUUUAAUUGUAAAUAGUGAUUAAACAUUUUUUGAGAAUCGUUUUGGUAUAUAUUAGAUUAGAUACUAGCAAUGGCAAGUUGUGCUGUAAAUGGUUGUAAAAACAACAGAAAAUUUCCUGUGAUCAAUAAAAAAUUUACAUUCCAUAGUUUCCUUAAAUAAAGGUGAAAUGCGAAGUGUGGUUAACACUGCUUGGCAAAACCGAUGAAAAUUGGAAAUAGAAAUAAUGUGAUUUGUUCUGAACGCCAACGCUUUUGUGUAUUAUAAGUACGGUUCUGGAGUAAGAUCCUUACAGCCAAAUUCGAUUCCUUCACUUCAAUUGGGCAUGUCAAAAACAGUAUGAAGUAUUGCACCUGUAGUUUCGAAAUAUUAAUAUGAAAUUACGGUAACACCUAUUCAUCCGGUUCACAUGAAAUGCACUUACAAAGAACACUGCAAGCAGGGCCGUAGCUACCGGUGUUCCACAGACACGGGCCCGGGCACCAAAGGGCCCGUAAUGAAUGUGCUUUUUUUUAUAACUAUUUUCAUUGAACAUUGUAAAAGCACCUACAUAAAAUCAAGCCUGUAGGUACCAAAUAUGAAUAAAAGUAAAAUAGUGUUUUUUAUAGAAUGGAAAUGAAAUACAUGUAUAAAUAGCGUAGGCUGUGAAAGUGCACCAUUCAUACAAAUAUAAACCCUUAUAUUAUAUUACAAAAUAUCAGGUUCACAGCACAUUGCAGAGCAGUAGCCACAUAAACAAAGUUGAUCAGAAACUCCGCUCUGAUUGGCUUCCUUUUAAGAAUUAAGUUACGACUGCACUCCUAACGUGAGAUAUCGGUUGGCUCGAUAUCACUUCACGUCUAAUCGAAGCAGGGACCGACAAGAAAUCCAAAUUCCAAAGUGCAAAUGUGAAUGUGGGAAUUGUUUUGUAGUUUCAUAUAAUCUACAAGCACUUGCUAUUGUUCUUCUGAGACGACUCAAAACAUCCCCUUCAUCCAUAUUUAAGUUUUAAGUAAAACCUAAAACGAGCCGUUGAUCACACGCAGAAACGAUAACAAACAUAUACCUAGAUAUAUGACCACCAAUCAAUACACGUAAAUUAAUAAUCAGAAAUGAAAACAAUUCAAUGAUGAAAACUUCACAGAGGUUAGAAAACAAACUAAUUACAAUGUUGCCAGAUGUUCCGUCACGCAGGAGUUGUGCGCGUUUACAAGAUCUUUCCGAUGACACCAAUUAGAAAACAAUCGGACCAAAAUUGUAGAUGUGAAAAAAAUUGAAAAAUCACCACGUUACUUCGCCCACCACUCUUGGGAAUGGCGCCCAGAUAAACAUGAAAUAAUUUUUAAUUUCUGAUCGAAUGACACCAAUACCAAGUCUAUAGUUCCAGAGCCUUUGUGAACACUUUUUGAAAGUGAAAGUGCACAAAAAAAUCACCCCCCAUGGGUUUAAAGUAAAAGACUUAAGACGGGAAUCAAUUUUGUGGGCUCGUGGUUUGAACUUUUGAAGCAUCUCGGAUCAUGUGUUGCACAAUUUUUGAAAUCCAUCGUCACACGCAUUUUUUACACAAAACUAUAUGUUUUAUAAAAACGAGGCACUUUUGUGCUUAUUCGGAACUAAGGAACGUUACGGGCGAUCAAAAAUAAGUGGAGACCCAGUCGCCUUUGGUAGUUCAAGUUAGACGCUUUCCCAUGUAAACAAAAAUUUCAAAUGUGACUCGACAGCAACUCAUUUUUGAUCGCAUUGUAUAUCAGGAAAACAGGACUGUCCCUUUGAAAUGAGAUGUUUGGUAACUUUCUCACUUUAGGUAUUUAGUGUCUAAGUAAAUAUAAAAAAAAUAAUGAACACGUCUCAAAGAUUUUUUAAAUUUCAUCCCUUAAAAGAUGUAAAAAGAGGUGUGAAAGUUUGUAUGAAAAAUACCUACAACUGCAGUAUAUGUGUGACGUGUGUCACUGAACUCUGAACUCCCCGUUAAAUUUUAAAUAUUUUAUAGAUUUUUAGGGAGAACAAUGUCGGUCGCGUCCGCCAGUGUUACGUGUAGAUAAUUAGCUGAAAAAAUGUCGAAUUUCAAAACAUAAUGCAGUUAUAAUUUCAAUUUCAUAACAUAAAAAUUAAAACCUUAUUGGCUAAA